AGAGUUUGAUCAUGGCUCAGGAUGAACGCUGGCGGCGUGCUUAACACAUGCAAGUCGAACGAUGAUCCGGUGCUUGCACCGGGGAUUAGUGGCGAACGGGUGAGUAACACGUGAGUAACCUGCCCUUAACUCUGGGAUAAGCCUGGGAAACUGGGUCUAAUACCGGAUAUGACUCCUCAUCGCAUGGUGGGGGGUGGAAAGCUUUAUUGUGGUUUUGGAUGGACUCGCGGCCUAUCAGCUUGUUGGUGAGGUAAUGGCUCACCAAGGCGACGACGGGUAGCCGACCUGAGAGGGUGACCGGCCACACUGGGACUGAGACACGGCCCAGACUCCUACGGGAGGCAGCAGUGGGGAAUAUUGCACAAUGGGCGAAAGCCUGAUGCAGCGACGCCGCGUGAGGGAUGACGGCCUUCGGGUUGUAAACCUCUUUCAGCAGGGACGAAGCGCAAGUGACGGUACCUGCAGAAGAAGCACCGGCUAACUACGUGCCAGCCGCCGCGGUAAUAC
RNAcentral lists this ribosomal RNA (507 nucleotides) under uncultured bacterium. RNAcentral's name for it is "bacterial SSU rRNA". It matches the Rfam family "Bacterial small subunit ribosomal RNA", at positions 8 to 526 of the family's 1533-position model. The record is from RNAcentral.